UACACACACUCGCACACUACUUUCUCUUUGUCUCUAUGUGCAUACACAUGCACACACUCUUCAGCAGUAAUUCCCCCUCCCACUCUCAUUACUACCAACACCAUCAUUAAUGUGAUGUGUACAUGUCCACAAAAGAGGCUGGAUUCCUCCUCAAAAUACACAAUUUGAUCUUUGCUAACCCUUGGCACAUUGAAUUGGCAGGCUCAUUAGAGUGUCAGGAAAAAUGCUUUGUGAUAUUUGUUCUGGCUCUUUAUCUUCUGAGUUCAAAUCCUGCCAAGGUCAACUUUGCCUUUCAUCCCUACAGGGUCGAUAAAAUAAAGUACCAGUCAAGUGCUGGGGUCAAUGGUAUUGACUGGCCCCUGCCCUCAAAACUUCUGGCCUUGUGCCUAAAUAAGAAACAUUAUGUUAUUAUCAUAAUAAUCCCACUGGGUCAGUUUUGUCUUCCAUUCUUCCUGGGUCUAUUCUACAAAACGAGUACCAGUUAAAUACUGAGGUUGAUUGGAUUGACUACAUCCUCCUUCCAAAGGCCUGGCCUUGUGCCUGUGUUAGAAGUUAUCAUCAUUAUUAUUAUUAUUGUUGUUGUUAAUGUUGUGAAUAAAGUGCUACAAGUUAAAAAUAUAAGAAAAAAUCCCCCCCCCCCAAAACUUGUGGUGGUGUUUGGGAAGAGGUGCAGUUGUCGACUCCCUCCCUAAAAAAAAAAAACAACGAACAUAUUAUUUGAAAAAUACCUUAACAUAGAGGUGAGUGUGUUGCAGUGGUUGAUGUGGAAAGGUGCAGGGUGCUCUUGGCUCUGUUGAUCAAUGUGCCCUUGAGUAAGGGAGGGAUAGGGAACAAUACCUCCUCUCUUUCCUCCCUCAUUUCUCUUUCUCUCUCUUUUCUCUUUCUCCUCUCUUUCUCUCUCUCCUCCCCCCCUCUCUCGCUUUGUAAUUAAUUCUAACUGACAGUGAUGAUGAGGAGAAUGAAGACAAUGAUUCAUGAUAGUGCUGUGAUAGAUCAUUGAGGUUUAAGUAAAAAUAGUAAGUUAAUAAUAAUAGUUAUAAUAAUAUUGUUGAUAAUAACUGUAUUGAAGAUGGAAAUAAUCAUAAUAAUAAUGAUUUGUUUAAUAAUAAUAAUAAUAAUAAAGAUAAUAGUAACAGUGGUUUGUAGGACACAAAAGUGUUUUUCCUUUUUUAAUUUGUUGAUGAAACCCCCACCUUCCUGUGGAAUGUCCAUAAAGUUAGGGUUCUCAACCAGUGACCACUUGGCUGUAACCAUCUUUUUUUUUUUUUUUCAAUUUUUUCAGUUUUUCAUUUUGUCAGUUCUCCACAGUUUUCUCUUCCUUGCUCCAUUCUACCAUCUUUCACUCUUUGCUUUUGGUUUCUCCAUCGAUAAACCACUAACCCUCCCAAGUAUCACCUCCUCCUCCUACCUGUUCAUUCUUUCUUCCUGGCUCAGCUUUACUCAUCUUAGCAUUGUACCCCCUCUCAUUUUUUUUCUAUGGUGUCACCCUGUUAUCUCUUUGAACUAGACUGUAACCAUUGAAUCUCUUGCUUCAGUUCAGCCCACCAUUAUGGGCCUGUUUGAUUCACAACAGGUUUGUGACAACAACAACAAAAAAAUGUCCACUUAUCUAUUCCUCCAGCAUUCAACUGACCCACCACCAUUCCAUGUCAUAAUUAAAAAUGAACAAAGAUAAAACUGCUUCAUAAUUAAAAGAAGGUGACUGGCAGCAGAACUGUUGUUGCCCCUUUUCACUUUUAUCUUCUACCUUUACCCUGUCAUCUCCUACUUAAACCCUCCUGCCUCAUUCCAUAUUGCUCUGUCCCCUACCUUCAUUUCUCUCUGUCUUUUCACUCCCUUCCCCAGUUUUGCUUACCCUUUCAUUACUUUCUUCACACUGCUGUCAUCUUCAACUCUUCUAUCCAUGCUGCACUCCCCAGUCCCUCCUCUGUAUCUUUUUUUGGCCCCUUCUAAUCACCAUUAAUCUGUCAGCCAUAUAUCUCUUUAGAUGCUGAUAUUUUUUUCUUUUACAAAACAUAACUUCCAUUCCAACCAGUUUAUCGCUCUAUCAAUGUGGACUAUCUUGGUUAAUCAAUUGUAAUUAUUUCUAAUUACUGCACCUUAUUAGAGUGGUAGCAGCUGGCAGAUGUUAAUUGUGGAGGGGUAGGUCUAUGAGCUGUAGGUCACUGGUUCAUUAAUGAUGACAGCACUAUAUUGUGUCUACAUCCAAGACACUGAACUCAUCUUAAUGGUCCAGUUUACCUUGCUGUAUGGAUUUUCAGCUGGAACACUGUAAAACUGAUGAAUGCUUUACAUGCAAUGCUGAAUUCUUGCAAUGGGUUUUCCCAUGGAGAGGCCACAGCCCCUGACAAACUGAUAUAUGGCAUAAAGACAAAACCCUUCGGUGGUGACCCAUAACACCCUUUACAUUAUGGGAUUCCAUUGUUACUACUUUUUCAUUUCUAUUUCUGCCAACCUGUUGAUCAGGACAGAGUUAGAAUAUCCAUGACAAUCCAUACCCCUCUCUCCCUGUCCCUUUCUUUCCCCCUCAUUUACUUUUUUUUUUUAAUGUAUCAUGUUUUAGAAUGAUUGUUGUUGUUAAUGUUGUUGUAACAGUUUGUUGUUUUAUAUAUUCCAGCAAUACUACAUUUUCUAGUUCGGUUGCUGAGCAGAUCUGGAUUAGAAUAAAAAUAGCUAAUCAAAGUAUUAGUAACAGUUCACAGCAUACAUACAUACACACACACACACACACACAUGCAUAUAUCUUUGCAAUUUGCAAGCCAAUCAUCACUGGUGCUAGUGCCAUUGAAAAAGCACCCAGUACACUCAAUAAAGUGGUUGACAUUAGGAGGGGCAUCUAGCCAUAGAAACCAUGGCAUAGUCCUCCAACUUGUCAAACACUGUAAAAUAGUCCGCUCCAUGCUAGCAUGGAAGCCAGACAUUAAAUGAUGGUGAGGAGGAUGGGGAUGAUAUAGCUCUAAAAUUAUAGUUUAGAGUAUUAAAUUUUGGGUGGAACUUUACCAUUCACUCAGUAUUCUACGUAUUGUCAUACAGUGGUCAGACAUAUUAAGGGAUGUGGAAUUUUACUCACUUUAAGGUAGUAACGGACUCUGUAGACACUUUGUUAAUUUAUGCAAUACUCAAAGAAGAGUUUUUGAGAAUAAUUUGACUGUAAUUAUAUUGAGCUGGUGAAGCAAAUGCAGAGAAACUCAUAAAAUAUUCAUAUGGUCUCUAUUGUAACCCUUUAACUUUCAGAUCAUUCUGUCAAGUGCAAUCUUUAUUCACAUCAUUUUGAAUUUAUCAGCCAUUAUCUGACAACUUAAAGAUUUUGAUAAUGUGAUUGUUUAUUUUUAGAAUGGUUAGGUGUGACAGGCUUGAUUUGGCUGAAUUUAGCGUAAACCAGUUAGAAUAUUUGGGUUGGAUGUGGCCAUUUUAAAUGCUAAAGGACUAGGUUUUAGAAGAAUUGCGGAAGGAGAUUUAGCUGUUGUAUUUAAUAUAUCAGUCAGACAAUAAAAAAAAAGACUUCUUGUUGAUUCAAAUGGCACUCGUAAAUGAUUUAUUGGCUCCGGUAUUGAGUUGUUAUAGUUCUGAGUAAAGAGCAGUUCAGUUACUUCCUCUAGCUUUAUGGAAGCUUCUUGAUUGGUUUGUGUGUGUGGUACAGCCUUGUUCAGCUGUGUUUAGGUUGUGACCAAUGGUUUGGUGAGGUAUUAGACGAUGGAGAGUCAGAAGUUGUAUUCUGUCACCACUGCUACUUUUGUUGCUGUUACCAUGUAAAAAAGGAAAGCCUAAUAUCAGCCUGCAUUAGUCAGAUAUGUACAGUUGUGGUAAUGCUUGUAUAUUCGGGUUGUAUGUGCGUAUGUUUAUACACACAUACAUGUAUGUGUGUAUGUGUAUAUGAGUGUAUAUAUUUAUAUGUAUGUGCAUGUGUGUAUGAAUGUGUAUCUCUUUCCUAUCAAGUGUUAAACUCCACUAAUUUAUGACAAUGGUUAGGGGUUUGUCCUAAUUUUAAAUGUUUAUAGUAUAAAAAUAUACUCAAAUAGAUUACAAAGCGGAAAGGUAGUGAUGAACAUUUUAUUCUCAAUGUAUUCUGACUCCACUUUGGUAGGGCAUGUUUGAUAUAUGAACUUUCUUUAACUUCAUAAUGAACAUUCCAAAUUUUGAACUGGCUUUCAUCUGAGAACUUUACAAAAAAAAAAAAA
Octopus sinensis (East Asian common octopus) is the source of this 4178-nucleotide long non-coding RNA. RefSeq lists it as uncharacterized. The record is from RefSeq and is a predicted model, not a curated record. The transcript has 2 exons. NCBI's taxonomy places the organism in Eukaryota, Metazoa, Mollusca, Cephalopoda, Octopoda, Octopodidae.